CACGGACCAAGGAGUCUAACAUGUACGCGAGUCAUUGGGACUYAGCGGAUACCUAAAGGCGCAAUGAAAGUGAAGAUCGGCCCUGGUUGUCGACCGAGGGAGGAUGGGCCGCGUCGCGAUGCGGCUCCGCACUCCCGGGGCGUCUCGUUCUCAUCGCGAGAAGAGGCGCACCCAGAGCGUACACGUUGGGACCCGAAAGAUGGUGAACUAUGCCUGGUCAGGACGAAGUCAGGGGAAACCCUGAUGGAGGUCCGUAGCGAUUCUGACGUGCAAAUCGAUCGUCGGAACUGGGUAUAGGGGCGAAAGACUAAUCGAACCAUCUAGUAGCUGGUUCCCUCCGAAGUUUCCCUCAGGAUAGCUGGCACUCGGCCGUUCCGCACGGAACGCGCGCGAGUCUCAUCUGGUAAAGCGAAUGAUUAGAGGCCUUGGGGCCGAAACGACCUCAACCUAUUCUCAAACUUUAAAUGGGUGAGAUCUCUGGCUUUCUUGAACUGUGAAGCCACGAGCAUCUCGGAUCAGAGUGCCAAGUGGGCCAUUUUUGGUAAGCAGA
RNAcentral lists this ribosomal RNA (550 nucleotides) under Crematogaster tumidula. RNAcentral's name for it is "partial large subunit ribosomal RNA". The record is from RNAcentral. Lineage: Eukaryota; Metazoa; Arthropoda; Insecta; Hymenoptera; Formicidae.